RNAcentral lists this small RNA (125 nucleotides) under Marmota monax (woodchuck). The record is from RNAcentral. Lineage: Eukaryota; Metazoa; Chordata; Mammalia; Rodentia; Sciuridae.
GCUGGGUGUGAUGGCACACACCUGUAAUCCCAGUGACUCAGGAGGCUGAGACAAAAGGAUCUCGAAUUCAGAGCCAGUCUCAGCAAUGGUGAGGCGCUAAGCAACUCAGUGAGACCCUGUCUCUA